GAUGGCGAUAGUUCUUAUUUGGUCCAUGAUGUUAAUUGUACAAAUACAAUCAAUCACCUACCAUUAGGCUCUUCAUUUGAGAAGAGAGCCUCAGAACUUCUAGGAUUAUCUUGUGUUUAAAUAUAAAGCGGACUCUCGUAAUCACCACCCUAUUAACUAGAUAGAACUGCACACAUGAGGACACCCAGAAGACAAGAUUAGUCCUUAGCAGUCAUUUUUAAAUACAUCCUUGGAAAUGGGACAGUUUUUUGGAAGGAAGUCACGCAAUCCAAAUCAUGAAAAUGAGAACAAGAGGUUAAUUACAGGGAAAUUUGUAGAGUGUCUUUAAGUGUAGAGAAGUUUAGAAGGUUUAUGGACACCCCUUGAGACCAUCCUAGUCACUGGUUGGUUUAGUUUGGUGCACAAAGGAUGGUUAGAUCUUGAUGUCUUUUAUCUUUUCUUGUAAGUUUGACCCAUGUCACCCUGAUGUUUGUCUUCAAAGAAGACCUUAAUCUCUUUUUAAUAAAAUGGGAAUGUUGCAUCAUUUAAUAGGGCCGGUGUUGAUACCCCAAAAUCAUCUUCUGCAAUGAGUUGGUCAUUUGGAUUCAAUUGUUUUCUUCUUCCUCCGUAGUGAAGGUGUCACCUAAAGUAACCUCCGAAUUGUCAAAGGAUGGAAAGUGCAAACUUAUCUGCUCAUCGAAUGAAAACAUAGAAGACAAUGUGUACUGGACAAAAAAUGGUCAACAAUUGGGAAGUGGGACUGCUUCUAGCCAAAUGUUGUUGUUGACAAAGGAAGACCUCGGAGUGCCUUAUUCGUGUACGGCGGAGAAUCUACUCGGCCGGUGGUCAGUCCCCGUGACAGACAUUUGUAGAUGGAAAGAAAACAAGGGCAACAGACUUGAAACGAACAAAUAUGUCCUCAUCUCUACUGUAGUGGCUCUGCUGCUUUACAUGUCAUUGCACUGACUGAAUAUGUGGAGAAUGAAGACACCGGGCCCACUUCUCUACCCCAAUGUGAUCCCAGACUGUUUGGUCCAUCUUUAGACUCUCAUCCUGCAUCACCUCGGCAGACCACAAAUCGAAAACAGUGUGCAGUCAGUCGGGCUUGAGUUCCCUGCAAAAUGUUCAACAAUGUCUCACCACUUGCAAUGUAUUCCCAGACUAUUUUACCUUUAUUAGACCUGGCGUUACCUUUUCAGCAAAGCUGAAUUUCUUGCAGUGGAGAAAAUAAGUGAAAGUGUUUUAAUGGGUGUGAACAUCAGAACAUCUGAUCUUCAUUCCAGUGUCAUCAACAUGAUAUAACAUUACUAAGUCUACUUACUUUAAUAAUAAUGGAUAAUGAAAGACCAAAACCUGAGCCAGCAGUACUGGUAAUGAGCAAAGAAAGAGCCCUGGACUGGGUGCUGGUCCAUCAUGGGGGCUACUCAAGCACAUACCCACACUCACGCUGGAGCCACUUUAUAGUCACAGGGGAUCUGGAAGGAAAAGUAGAGCAUCCAAAGGAAAGCCCAGGUAGACACAAGAAGAACGUGCAGAAUCCAUACAGACAAUGAGAGGCGUUUCAAGGUUAAGUUGUUCUGCCGGCUAAUCACGGCGCCAUGAGAGUGGCCUCACAAGUAGGAAUGUAAGGACAUUCACAAGUAAGUGCAAGUAAGAAUUCCACUGUACUCCAUACAUGUGACAAUAAUGACCCCACACAUCCAUAAACAAGGUACACGAUUUGAACACGGUACGUUGUGUCCACGAAUCAGCAGCACUAACUAUUGUGCUUCUAUGCCAUCAUUUCUAUUAAAUCUCUAAUUCUACCUGAAAACACUGACACAUACACUUUAGAAUUGUUCAG
Erpetoichthys calabaricus (reedfish) is the source of this 1822-nucleotide long non-coding RNA. RefSeq lists it as uncharacterized. The transcript has 3 exons. Lineage: Eukaryota; Metazoa; Chordata; Cladistia; Polypteriformes; Polypteridae. The record is from RefSeq and is a predicted model, not a curated record.